This is a long non-coding RNA of Topomyia yanbarensis, 1217 nucleotides long. RefSeq lists it as uncharacterized. Lineage: Eukaryota; Metazoa; Arthropoda; Insecta; Diptera; Culicidae. The transcript is spliced from 3 exons. The record is from RefSeq and is a predicted model, not a curated record.
CGUAUAUAGCAAAGUUUAGCUUCGGAUUGUUAAUUUAAAUUAAUCAUUUUUAUCGGAUAGCAGACAACAAAACGACACACGACGAGGUUUCUCGCAUCCGAUUCUCUCAGCACCGGCUAUCUCACCGUCACUCUGGCAGCCGCCUUACACAUAUUGUAAUACAAUCACAAUGACUAGUUUCAGAAACAACAAGACCGCUAUAGCAUAUUAAGUAGUUCGCAAUGUGUCAUUGAUGAAGGAUUACAGAAAUCAACGCACGAAAGCUGAUACAGAAGUUGGUGUAAACUAGAAAAACUCUAGAAAGAGAACUGCGGAGACUCCAUUUUGACUCGAUUGGAUUCGCGUUUAGCUGUCAAAAAAGGGAUCCAAUCGAACAUUGACUAUCCUUAUAACAUUGGACGUGUUGCCAUACAAUGCCGGGACAUACGUUGCCAAAAAUGCUGUUUUUCUCUCCGCAGUUCUCUUACUAGAGUUUUUCUAAUGUAAACCAAAGUCUAAUAAAUAAACGAAGGAAGGAUCGGGAUUGGGAUGCCACCACAUGAACUUCACAUCAAUCAACUUCUGGUAAUUGACAACAUUUAACCGAAGGCUAUUGUAAUUGCUAUAAUGGUUUGUGACUUCUUUUGACCUUUAUUGUCAAUGCACUCUUUGCAUUGUAUCGUGUGUUUGCUGUGACCACAAAAUUUUGUUUUGGAGAUCGAUUGUGCAUGUGAUCGACUGAAAGCGCGCCCAGUAUUGGUUGUCGACUCACCGACAACUGGCAUCAACAUCCUCUAUGCUACCUAGGUGUUCCGGAAAAAGUCUUCACCUAUUUAUGCAUUGAUUACAAAUCCUUCAAAAAUGUCGCAUUUUCGCUCCAUCGGCAACAAUCGUUCUCUUUCUAGAGUUUUUCUAGUUACCAACAUACUCAUCGUAUUCGAGGGAAUCAAAAUGCUAAGCCAAAAGACGCCCAACAACUUGCACCAAGAAAAAAAUUGGAAACAUUUCUUCACAUCUUGUUGCGGGCUGGGAUUCUGGCAGGAACCGAAGGCAUUCCGCAAUGCCCUAUCGGUAUAAUUGUUUGAGCACAGGAAUAUCUCAGAUAAAUACACACAAGGAUCGGAUGGAUAUGUAGCUAAAUGACAUGAAUCAAUAUGGUUCUCUGGAGAGCACAUCCGAUGAUUAAAACAUUUAUUUAUAGUAAUAUUUGAAAGCUAAUAUAUUUAUUUUGCAGUGCA